GGCAGCAGUGAGGAAUAUUGGUCAAUGGUCGGAAGACUGAACCAGCCAUGCCGCGUGCAGGAAGACGGUCCUAUGGAUUGUAAACUGCUUUUGUACGGGAAGAAACACUCGUUCGUGAAGCUUGACGGUACCGUAAGAAUAAGGAUCGGCUAACUCCNNGCCAGCAGCCGCGGUAAUACGGAGGAUCCAAGCGUUAUCCGGAAUCAUUGGGUUUAAAGGGUCCGUAGGCGGUCUGAUAAGUCAGUGGUGAAAUCCGGCAGCUCAACUAUCGAACUGCCAUUGAUACUGUAUGACUUGAAUUACUGUGAAGUAACUAGAAUAUGUAGUGUAGCGGUGAAAUGCUUAGAUAUUACAUGGAAUACCAAUUGCGAAGGCAGGUUACUAAUGGUAUAUUGACGCUGAUGGACGAAAGCGUGGGGAGCGAACAGGAUUAGAUACCCUGGUAGUCCACGCUGUAAACGAUGGAUACUAGCUGUNGGGAGUAAUUUNAGUGGCUANGCGAAAGUGAUAAGUANNCCCCCUGGGGAGUACNNNCNCAAGUUUGAAACU
RNAcentral lists this ribosomal RNA (549 nucleotides) under uncultured Flavobacteriaceae bacterium. Its description in RNAcentral is "partial 16S ribosomal RNA". It matches the Rfam family "Bacterial small subunit ribosomal RNA", at positions 347 to 901 of the family's 1533-position model. The record is from RNAcentral. Lineage: Bacteria; Pseudomonadati; Bacteroidota; Flavobacteriia; Flavobacteriales; Flavobacteriaceae.